Molecule: long non-coding RNA, 2069 nt
Organism: Equus asinus (donkey)
Lineage: Eukaryota; Metazoa; Chordata; Mammalia; Perissodactyla; Equidae
Source: Ensembl
GUGACCCUGUUAGAACUAAUGGGGUGAUCUACCAGGCUCAAAGAAUGUGGUUCACUUUGAUCACUUCCCGUACUUCUGGCAGCAACCCCAGGUCAUGUGCUCCUGUCAGCCCCAUUCUGUGGCUGGGAGUAAAGAAGCUGUGAGGUGUUCUAGAACCUGUCCAGUGAAGUGUGGCUGUUGAGUGUGGGAUGAGCGUGCCAUUCCUGCCGGGGACUCCAGGCCUGGCCAAGCCAGAACAGCUCCGGCCUCUAGGUGUGGCUCCAGGACAAUCAACCCUAGGGGAGAGCAGCUGAGGCCACACUCGUCAAAGUUGCAGAGGAAGUUUCUCUGGCAGUCAGCCUGCUCCCUCUACUUGUCUCUGUUGGUGGAGACCGAACACAAAGUGCAGUGACUCAGAAGCCUUUGAGAGGGUGACUGGGGGCCUGGCCACCGCAAGGCACAGAGGCAGUGAGAUGGAUCGACCCAAAACGACAGUGUGCUGGGGAAAGAAGAAAUCAAGGCAGAAGGAAGAAGAAAAUGAACUCCAAGAAAUUCUGCCCAGUGAGCCUCAACAGCCCAAAGACCGUUUUUCAAAAUUCAGUGGGUGGCUUAUGAAAGUCCCCAGGAAAAGAAAACCAGACACUGCUAUUCAUCAGAAAGAAACUCCCAAAGCAGGGAGAUGCUUCAGAGAGUAGGUCCCACCUCCCAGAAGUCCAUGGCCGGGAACCUCUUGGACUCAAUGAUGUUCAUUACCUGGAUGUUCCAAAUGCAGGAGAAGCUGGUGGGGCUGAUCCAGGAGCUGGUCUCAGCUGUGGGGUGUCCAAGUGGUCAAUUCAGACAAGCAGCCAGAAAGAAGUAACAGUGCAGACUUUCGCGUCUUACUGAGGUGCUACCAGCAGGCACCCGCUCCCCUGUUGCACCCCCCUAGGACCGCUGCCUGGAGGAGUUGAAAAAGUGUCUAGAAAAUGUUCUGAUCUGUGAUCAGAAAAAGUGGACCGAGUCUGCCUCCUCAGUGUUCCUUGAAAUCUACCAGCUACUGAAAGAAGCUGUAGAUGCAGUCCGACACAUUGGGCCAUCCGUCACCAGACGGGUUCAAGCCAUGGUUCUGGAAACAUUUUCAAAGUUUCUGGAAAGGGGCCAGCAUCUUCUUCACACCGCAGCUACAAGGAUAAGGCUGAAGUCUUCAUCCAGCAGAACACCAGUGACCACACCUUUCCCGAGCUGCAUGUGCUGGAAAACUGCUGCAUCCUCAGGAAGACAUGGUGGUGGCUGAGCAGGGCGCACGUUCCCUGGGCACGCUUGGACCCAGCUGUGCAAGGUGCCAUCAAAGUCAUUGAGGACCAUGGCCGGGACCACCUCCUGCCUCGAGUCAGAGCCCUGUGCCAGAGUCUGCUGAGUUGUCACUUCGGAGAGAAGAACAAGGAUCUGGUCCAAUCUCUGCGGUCCCUGUGGCAGAGCCUGGAGCACUGCCCCAACAUGCACCCUACUCCCACAUACGAGAGCCUUGUGAGGAGUCUGAAUAUGGUGGUCUUUGGGGAGUACGUCCAGGCCCUGGCUGCUUAUCUCAGGAGGCUGGUGCCCAGGACUUCGGGGCACCUCCGUGCUCAGGUGGAAACGGACAUCUGGAAGCUGGGCACCACCUUUAGGGAGCACAGGGGCCCAGCUUUGGACGAUCUACAGGAGUACAUCCUCCAGCUCAGUGAGAGCAGAGACAGACAGACUGUGGAUCAGUGGCUGGCCUCCUUCAGUGACAGUUUCCCUGGUUAUCUGAGACAGGGCAGAUCCACGGCUGUGGAGGAGGAGACUGCGAUCAGGGGACGCUCCUCAUUCUGCUGCAGACUUCUCCAGAACUUAAGGGCCUGCUGGCACCGUUGCUGCCCUAGCAGACGUGGAUGUGAGCUCUAGUUUCAGGAAUCUGCUUGUUCUUGGGGCUGUGGGAGUUAUGUGGCCCCGGUACCCAGCUAAAGCUAAGGAUCUGGGCGCCCCUGGCCACUGGAUGGCCACUUCACAAAUGGCAGCCUGAUAUCUAGAAGGAAGCCGAUCCUUCUCAAUUCUGGAUUCUUCAAUCAGAAAGAACUCUGAGAACUGAC